Molecule: unclassified non-coding RNA, 400 nt
Filed under: uncultured fungus
Lineage: Eukaryota; Fungi
Description: sequence contains ITS1
Rfam family: 5.8S ribosomal RNA (bases 1-105)
Source: RNAcentral
GAAAUGCGAUAAGUAGUGUGAAUUGCAGAAUUCAGUGAAUCAUCAAAUCUUUGAACGCACAUUGCGCUUCCUGGUAUUCCGGGGAGCAUGCCCGUUUCAGCAUCAUUAAAAACAUCAUAAAACGUGCAAUUGGUUUGCUUGCAAACGAGCUGUGCGCUUUGUGCUGAUGGAUCUUGGGGGAUUUGUAUGUCCCCGAGUUCUGAAUGUGAUGAUGUGGGUGCCGCAGCCGUCGCAGGCUUCAGCUGGCUCCAAAGUGCAGCAGAAUUCAUUCUACCUCGCUUUGGGACCGCUUCUAAUGAAGUCUUGGGUUGCAUUGGCGCACUCCUCCACCUUAACACGUUGAGAAAGUUGCUUGCGGCUAUACGUCGUACUCAACUUUCUUUUCUGACUUGGUCUGAAA